This is a long non-coding RNA of Pezoporus flaviventris, 2044 nucleotides long. RefSeq lists it as uncharacterized. NCBI's taxonomy places the organism in Eukaryota, Metazoa, Chordata, Aves, Psittaciformes, Psittacidae. The transcript has 2 exons. The record is from RefSeq and is a predicted model, not a curated record.
ACCAAUGGGACAGUAGACCCCUGGUCAAGUUAAAAGUGUCUGCAGGAAAAGAGUAGCAAAAUAAUAGUGUCUGUCCAAUGUAUCAUCUUCUCCCAGUGCUCAAAAGAUGUUUUUAAAUACCCUAACUCAACAGUAGUUUUGUGCUCUUUUACUGAUGGGAAUUUUCAAACCCCAAGUUAUUUCAUUAGGUAACACCGCCGGUGUUUAAAAUGUCAGAAUCAAACUCCAUUUCCUAGUGUGAACGCUGAAUACCAGUGCCUGAAGGAAAGUUUUAUAGCAUCGAUUAACUGCAACCAUUUGUAGGACUGACAAAGAGCUGCAUCAAAGUAUUAUUCUAACUUUUAGAUGUAUUGUGCAUCAUUUUUAUAACAUGCAAGCCAACAAUGAUGUACCUUGUUAUUGCAGGUCAGAACAACAUCACCCCAGCAGAUAAAUCACAGAGACUGUCAUUAGCAGUCCCAGAACUUGCAAGGCACAGGAUGAGAGAGGCCACAGAAGAGUAUGUCAUCCAAGGUCUAUCACAGUAGCAGCGAAAGAAUACAAUCCCAGAGUAUCAAUGUUUACCUUAAGCAUGAGCCUAUCCUGUCCGCUUCUUAACAUUUCCAGCUCCAUUUGCUACCCACCUCCCAGCCUUGACAACAAAUGGGGAAAUAUCAUGUGGAACCAAGAAACAGCCAUGAAAUUCAAACUGGCAUACGUAAAUAGAGUACAAGAAUUGGGUUUUAGCUGUAAUGAGCCCAGAGGGAUUACUUAUUAAAGUUACUAAAACCAGACUGCUUAACUGCUCAGUUAUUUAAAAUGCUAUCCAAUAGCUACAUUGCCAAAAGGGGCCAAAUAUCUACUUGGAUUGAUGUACAAUAUGCUUUGAAACAGAUGCAUUGGUUUAUGUUUCAUUUAGGUCUGUGCUGACAGUGAGACCCUGGCCCAGGAAUACUCGACUUCUGACUUCCAUCACGCCCUCUGAGGACUAAUAAAUGCACAGGAAGACAAUGGCUGGUAUUAAUGCUCUCUAUGGCUAACUGAAAAAGAGAGAUGGAGCAGGACUGCUCUGUUGCCAAGACAAUAGAAACCGUAAGUCAGUGAAAACUAGGAAAGAUCUAACUGAAAUAAACGAAAGUUGAACCUAAUUAAAGAAACAAGUAAACUAAUGUAAAGGUGGAGGGUCAGGGAUGCUCAUUUUCUUUUCUGUUUUCCCUAUGAAUUCGCCUACAAAGAACUGGUGAAGGAACUGUGGCAAAAGCAAUUGAGCAUAAAAAACCAUAGGGCUGUGUGUACUUCUCUGAUUUAUCAUGGCUUACAUGAAACCCAAUAUUGUUUAUACUCAAGUGAGAUGUGGCUUACUAUUUCAUGCAUUUAUGUAUGAUUGUGUUUCUAGUUACUGUUUAAUGAAACAUGGAUCUUGAGACCUUUGCAGUGCUCCUUCUUCUGAAGAAACACUGUGAAAUGAAAGAUGAAUAUGCUCAACCAUGUAAUGGAAUAAAUUAGUUUUGGUUUUAUUUUCUUCUGGUUGUUUUGGUUUUUUUUUUAUAGUUUUAAAAAAUGAGAAGUGUAUUACAUCCCAAACAAUACAUGAAAGACAACAUGUGGAGGUGCAAGUAGUCAUAAUAAAAAGUUUUAAGAUGAAAGUAAUAGAAAAAUAUUGAACAAUUAUGCAAAACAGUCAAGAUUUAUCUGAUUCAUUGCAUGGAGAUCAUACUUCUGGAACUCUGUGUGCUUUAUGAACAAAUUAUUACUCUGUAGAGCAGUUGUCAACAUUUAAGUAUCUUGGAUUUCUUUUAAGGGUUUUGCUAUGGCUGUUCCUUUUAAUAAGUCUGAUCUAAAGCCACUGAAACUAAAGAGGAAUUUUCCAGGUGACAGUGCUUUGCACCAGAAAAUCACUUGCCUCUUGCACCAAAAGCAUAUAGUACAUAGGAGUAAUUAAAUGGAUGUAAGUUCAUAAAAGCACCUGUGCAGAGAAGACACAUGCCCUGCUGUUUAUUCCUACCCUAUGAACUACAUAUAUAUGUAAUUUGUUGUAAAAUUGUAAUCAAUUCCUUUCUUUUUU